CAAAUUAGAGCUUGAAAUAAGCAUUUUAUUUACAUUAAAAAGAUUACUUUAUAGUAUAGUUUGA
RNAcentral lists this transfer RNA (64 nucleotides) under Curculionidae sp. KM-2017. RNAcentral's name for it is "tRNA-Val". Lineage: Eukaryota; Metazoa; Arthropoda; Insecta; Coleoptera; Curculionidae. The record is from RNAcentral.